This 253-nucleotide ribosomal RNA is filed under the name uncultured bacterium. RNAcentral's name for it is "partial 16S ribosomal RNA". It matches the Rfam family "Bacterial small subunit ribosomal RNA", at positions 524 to 776 of the family's 1533-position model. The record is from RNAcentral.
UACGUAGGCAGCGAGCGUUGUUCGGAGUUACUGGGCGUAAAGAGUGCGUAGGCGGUUUUCUAAGUUUGGUGUGAAAUCUCCCGGCUUAACUGGGAGGGUGCGCCGAAGACUGGAAGGCUUGAGUAUGGGAGAGGUAAGCGGAAUUCCUGGUGUAGCGGUGAAAUGCGUAGAUAUCAGGAGGAACACCUGCGGUGUAGACGGCUUACUGGACCAUAACUGACACUGAGGGACGAAAGCUAGGGGAGCGAAAGGG